Molecule: ribosomal RNA, 267 nt
Filed under: uncultured microorganism
Description: partial 16S ribosomal RNA
Rfam family: Archaeal small subunit ribosomal RNA
Source: RNAcentral
GCGCAGCAGGCGCGAAACUGGCCAAUGCGCGAAAGCGUGAGCCGGCUAAUCUGAGUGGUUCCCAUCGGGAACCUUUGCCAAGUGUACAAAGCUUGGCGAAUAAGGAGAGGGCAAGACUGGUGCCAGCCGCCGCGGUAAAACCAGCUCUUCGAAUCGUGGGCAUGAUUAUUUGGCUUAAAGUGUGCGUAGCAGGGACAGGAUAAGUCUCCUGUGAAAUGCCAGGUCUUAAGCCUGGCGCGUGCGGGAGAUACUAUCCGUCUUGGGACC